UUAAAUUGAAGAGUUUGAUCAUGGCUCAGAUUGAACGCUGGCGGCAGGCCUAACACAUGCAAGUCGAACGGUAACAGAAAGCAGCUUGCUGCUUUGCUGACGAGUGGCGGACGGGUGAGUAAUGUCUGGGAAACUGCCUGAUGGAGGGGGAUAACUACUGGAAACGGUAGCUAAUACCGCAUAACGUCGCAAGACCAAAGAGGGGGACCUUCGGGCCUCUUGCCAUCGGAUGUGCCCAGAUGGGAUUAGCUAGUAGGUGGGGUAACGGCUCACCUAGGCGACGAUCCCUAGCUGGUCUGAGAGGAUGACCAGCCACACUGGAACUGAGACACGGUCCAGACUCCUACGGGAGGCAGCAGUGGGGAAUAUUGCACAAUGGGCGCAAGCCUGAUGCAGCCAUGCCGCGUGUAUGAAGAAGGCCUUCGGGUUGUAAAGUACUUUCAGCGGGGAGGAAGGGAGUAAAGUUAAUACCUUUGCUCAUUGACGUUACCCGCAGAAGAAGCACCGGCUAACUCCGUGCCAGCAGCCGCGGUAAUACGGAGGGUGCAAGCGUUAAUCGGAAUU
Molecule: ribosomal RNA, 564 nt
Filed under: Escherichia coli
Lineage: Bacteria; Pseudomonadati; Pseudomonadota; Gammaproteobacteria; Enterobacterales; Enterobacteriaceae
Description: bacterial SSU rRNA
Rfam family: Bacterial small subunit ribosomal RNA
Source: RNAcentral